RNAcentral lists this non-coding RNA (30 nucleotides) under Cricetulus griseus (Chinese hamster). RNAcentral also lists the same sequence under 1 other name. The record is from RNAcentral. Lineage: Eukaryota; Metazoa; Chordata; Mammalia; Rodentia; Cricetidae.
AACCAGUGAUGUGAUGAUUCUGCCAAAUGA